ACCCUUUUUCUUUCUUUAGUACCUCAAUCUUGCAAUGGACCAAGGUACUACUGUUGUCAUCACAUAAUGAGUCUUACAUAAUUCAAGACAAAGGCGUCAAGACAACACUAAGACUAAAAACUGAUUUAUUAAAUUAUUUUGUUUUUUAUAAUUAUUAUUGUUCAAAUGAAAUAUUUGGCACUGUGCAGCAAA
Molecule: long non-coding RNA, 192 nt
Organism: Amphimedon queenslandica
Lineage: Eukaryota; Metazoa; Porifera; Demospongiae; Haplosclerida; Niphatidae
Exons: 2
Source: RefSeq, a predicted model, not a curated record